UACCCGCUGAACUUAAGCAUAUCAAUAAGCGGAGGAAAAGAAACCAACAGGGAUUACCUUAGUAACGGCGAGUGAAGCGGUAAAAGCUCAAAUUUGAAAUCUUCGGAAUUGUAAUUUGAUGGAUAAAAUUGCUACUGACAAAAGUCCAUUGGAAGAUGGCGCCAUAGAGGGUGAUAGCCCCGUUAUUGUCAACUUGCACUAUAAUUUUAUUCCAAAGAGUCGGGUUGUUUGGGAAUGCAGCUCAAAGUGGGUGGUAAAUUCCAUCUAAAGCUAAAUAUUGACGAGAGACCGAUAGCGAACAAGUACAGUGAUGGAAAGAUGAAAAGAACUUUGAAAAGAGAGUGAAACAGUACGUGAAAUUGUUGAAAGGGAAGGGGAGGGAAGAUGUUAAAGGGACUCCUUCUUAGUAGGGAUCCCCCCAAGAGUCUUUCCUCUCGCCCGUCUUGAA
Molecule: ribosomal RNA, 448 nt
Filed under: Metschnikowia hamakuensis
Lineage: Eukaryota; Fungi; Ascomycota; Pichiomycetes; Serinales; Metschnikowiaceae
Description: LSU rRNA
Rfam family: Eukaryotic large subunit ribosomal RNA
Source: RNAcentral